CGCUCAGAGGGGGAGGGGCAGGAAAGAAGCGUUGUGAGGCCGUGCAGGAGCCGAUUUUUUACACCGUGUUUUUAUUGCGGCUCUUCCUGACAAUUUGGUAGAAGCUGUGCAGAGUAAAAAGAGAUAAGCUGAGAGACGCUGCCGGACCGCCCGAUUUUAUGAGGUGAACCUCAAUUCGCUUGGAUCUCACCUUCUGAAGUUGAGUACAGUGAGAUACGGGUUGGAAUUUGGUCUCUUCCUUCUUGACGGACCACAUAACGUUUUCGGCUUCUACUUUCGCUCUGCUUGCUGACCUGGAUUUCGGAUUUGCCCCACGGAUCAAAACUACCAACUCGAUUUUGACCCGGACCUUGACCACGGCUCUUCUUCAUCACCACACCACAACAACCACUGCCACUGAGUCUCUUCAAUUACUUGGGUCACUUGGGUCCAACCUCUUGUCUUCUUGCAUCCUCUGAUUAUUACAGUUUGGAGCAAGGCCCAGCCCGAAAAAGGUACCUACAGCACCUUCC
Molecule: long non-coding RNA, 512 nt
Filed under: Scleropages formosus (Asian bonytongue)
Lineage: Eukaryota; Metazoa; Chordata; Actinopteri; Osteoglossiformes; Osteoglossidae
Description: lncRNA (ENSSFOG00015029144.1)
Source: RNAcentral